This 253-nucleotide ribosomal RNA is filed under the name uncultured bacterium. RNAcentral's name for it is "partial 16S ribosomal RNA". It matches the Rfam family "Bacterial small subunit ribosomal RNA", at positions 524 to 776 of the family's 1533-position model. The record is from RNAcentral.
UACAGAGACUGCAAGCGUUAUUCGGAUUCCCUGGGCGUAAAGGGUUCGCAGGCGGCCUAGUGUGUGAGGCGUGAAAGCCCGGGGCUUAACCCCGGAAUUGCACCUCAAACUACAUGGCUAGAGCAUUGGAGAGGGUAGCAGAAUUCAUGGUGUAGCAGUGAAAUGCGUAGAUAUCAUGAGGAAUACCAGAGGCGAAGGCGGCUACCUGGACAAUUGCUGACGCUCAGGCACGAAAGCGUGGGGAGCAAAAGGG